This 69-nucleotide transfer RNA is filed under the name Callanthias japonicus. RNAcentral's name for it is "tRNA-Val". It matches the Rfam family "tRNA". Rfam says of the family: Transfer RNA (tRNA) molecules are approximately 80 nucleotides in length. Their secondary structure includes four short double-helical elements and three loops (D, anti-codon, and T loops). Further hydrogen bonds mediate the characteristic L-shaped molecular structure. tRNAs have two regions of fundamental functional importance: the anti-codon, which is responsible for specific mRNA codon recognition, and the 3' end, to which the tRNAs corresponding amino acid is attached (by aminoacyl-tRNA synthetases). tRNAs cope with the degeneracy of the genetic code in two manners: having more than one tRNA (with a specific anti-codon) for a particular amino acid; and 'wobble' base-pairing, i.e. permitting non-standard base-pairing at the 3rd anti-codon position. Lineage: Eukaryota; Metazoa; Chordata; Actinopteri; Callanthiidae. The record is from RNAcentral.
CGAAGCAUGGCCUAACUAGGGCACCUCCUUUACACUGAGAAAGUAUUCGUUAAAAUCGAAUUGCUUCGA